GGGUUGUGAGGUUAAGCGAAUAAGCGUACACGGUGGAUGCCUAGGCAAUCAGAGGCGAUGAAGGACGUGCUAAUCUGCGAAAAGCGUCGGUAAGGUGAUAUGAACCGUUAUACCCGACGAUAUCCGAAUGGGGAAACCCAGUAUCCAAUGGAUACUAUCAUUAACUGAAUCCAUAGGUUAAUGAGGCGAACCGGGAGAACUGAAACAUCUCAGUACCCCGAGGAAAAGAAAUCAACCGAGAUUCCCCUAGUAGCGGCGAGCGAACGGGGAGCAGCCCAGAGUCUUAAUCAAUAACAGUGUCAGGAGAACGGUCUGGAAAGUCCGGCAGUAAAGGGUGAUAGCCCCGUAUCUGAAGAUGCUGUUAUUGUGAACUCGACGAGUAGGGCGGGACACGUGUUAUCCUGUCUGAAUAUGGGGGGACCAUCCUCCAAGGCUAAAUACUCCUGAUUGACCGAUAGUGAACCAGUACCGUGAGGGAAAGGCGAAAAGAACCCCGGCGAGGGGAGUGAAAAAGAACCUGAAACCGUGUACGUACAAGCAGUAGGAGCCUCUUUAUGGGGUGACUGCGUACCUUUUGUAUAAUGGGUCAGCGACUUAUAUUCUGUAGCGAGGUUAACCGUAUAGGGGAGCCGUAGGGAAACCGAGUCUUAACUGGGCGAAUGAGUUGCAGGGUAUAGACCCGAAACCCGGUGAUCUAUCCAUGGGCAGGUUGAAGGUUGGGUAACACUAACUGGAGGACCGAACCGACUAAUGUUGAAAAAUUAGCGGAUGACUUGUGGAUGGGGGUGAAAGGCCAAUCAAACCGGGAGAUAGCUGGUUCUCCCCGAAAGCUAUUUAGGUAGCGCCUCGUGAACUCAUCUUCGGGGGUAGAGCACUGUUUCGACUAGGGGGUCAUCCCGACUUACCAACUCGAUGCAAACUGCGAAUACCGAAGAAUGUUAUCACGGGAGACACACGGCGGGUGCUAACGUCCGUCGUGAAGAGGGAAACAACCCAGACCGCCAGCUAAGGUCCCAAAGUCAUGGUUAAGUGGGAAACGAAGUGGGAAGGCUCAGACAGCCAGGAUGUUGGCUUAGAAGCAGCCAUCAUUUAAAGAAAGCGUAAUAGCUCACUGGUCGAGUCGGCCCGCGCGGAAGAUGUAACGGGGCUAAACCAUGCACCGAAGCUGCGGCAGCGACACAUAGUGUUGUUGGGUAGGGGAGCGUUCUGUAAGCCUGCGAAGGUGUACUGUGAGGUAUGCUGGAGGUAUCAGAAGUGCGAAUGCUGACAUAAGUAACGAUAAUGCGGGUGAAAAACCCGCACGCCGGAAGACCAAGGGUUCCUGUCCAACGUUAAUCGGGGCAGGGUGAGUCGACCCCUAAGGCGAGGCUGAAAAGCGUAGUCGAUGGGAAACGGGUUAAUAUUCCCGUACUGGUGGUAACUGCGAUGGGGGAACGGAGAAGGCUAGGUUGUCCGGGCGACGGUCGUCCCGGUUCAAGCAGGUAGGCAGAGUGAUUAGGCAAAUCCGGUCACUUAAUGCUGAGAUGUGAUGACGAACCACCAAGGUGGUGAAGCAAUUGAUGCCCCGCUUCCAGGAAAAGCCUCUAAGCUUCAGGUUACCAACAAUCGUACCCCAAACCGACACAGGUGGUCAGGUAGAGAAUACUCAGGCGCUUGAGAGAACUCGGGUGAAGGAACUAGGCAAAAUGGUGCCGUAACUUCGGGAGAAGGCACGCUGGCGGUAGGUAAAGUCCCUCGCGGACAGAGCUGAAGCCAGUCGAAGAUACCAGCUGGCUGCAACUGUUUAUUAAAAACACAGCACUGUGCAAACACGAAAGUGGACGUAUACGGUGUGACGCCUGCCCGGUGCUGGAAGGUUAAUUGAUGGGGUUAGCGCAAGCGAAGCUCCUGAUCGAAGCCCCAGUAAACGGCGGCCGUAACUAUAACGGUCCUAAGGUAGCGAAAUUCCUUGUCGGGUAAGUUCCGACCUGCACGAAUGGCGUAAUGAUGGCCAGGCUGUCUCCACCCGAGACUCAGUGAAAUUGAACUCGCUGUGAAGAUGCAGUGUACCCGCGGCAAGACGGAAAGACCCCGUGAACCUUUACUAUAGCUUGACACUGAACAUUGAGCCUUGAUGUGUAGGAUAGGUGGGAGGCUUUGAAGUGUGGACGCCAGUCUGCAUGGAGCCAACCUUGAAAUACCACCCUUUAACGUUUGAUGUUCUAACCUAGGCCCAUAAACUGGGUCGGGGACCGUGUCUGGUGGGUAGUUUGACUGGGGCGGUCUCCUCCUAAAGAGUAACGGAGGAGCACGAAGGUUGGCUAAGCAUGGUCGGACAUCAUGCGGUUAGUGCAAAGGCAUAAGCCAGCUUGACUGCGAGUGACGGCUCGAGCAGGUACGAAAGUAGGUCUUAGUGAUCCGGUGGUUCUGAAUGGAAGGGCCAUCGCUCAACGGAUAAAAGGUACUCCGGGGAUAACAGGCUGAUACCGCCCAAGAGUUCAUAUCGACGGCGGUGUUUGGCACCUCGAUGUCGGCUCAUCACAUCCUGGGGCUGAAGUAGGUCCCAAGGGUAUGGCUGUUCGCCAUUUAAAGUGGUACGCGAGCUGGGUUUAGAACGUCGUGAGACAGUUCGGUCCCUAUCUGCCGUGGGCGUUGGAAGAUUGAGAGGGGUUGCUCCUAGUACGAGAGGACCGGAGUGAACGCACCACUGGUGUUCGGGUUGUCAUGCCAAUGGCAUUGCCCGGUAGCUAAGUGCGGAAGAGAUAACCGCUGAAAGCAUCUAAGCGGGAAACUUGCCUCGAGAUGAGUCUUCCCUGUCGCUUUAAGCGACCUAAAGGAACGUUUAAGACUAAGACGUUGAUAGGCUGGGUGUGUAAGCGUAGCGAUACGUUGAGCUAACCAGUACUAAUGAACCGUGAGGCUUAACCUGACAACACCGAAAGUGUUUUG
Molecule: ribosomal RNA, 2928 nt
Filed under: Proteus mirabilis
Lineage: Bacteria; Pseudomonadati; Pseudomonadota; Gammaproteobacteria; Enterobacterales; Morganellaceae
Description: 23S ribosomal RNA
Rfam family: Bacterial large subunit ribosomal RNA
Source: RNAcentral